RNAcentral lists this ribosomal RNA (253 nucleotides) under uncultured bacterium. RNAcentral's name for it is "partial 16S ribosomal RNA". It matches the Rfam family "Bacterial small subunit ribosomal RNA", at positions 524 to 776 of the family's 1533-position model. The record is from RNAcentral.
UACAGAGGUCCCAAGCGUUGUUCGGAUUCACUGGGCGUAAAGGGUGCGUAGGUGGCAAGAUAAGUCUGAUGUGAAAUCUCCAAGCUUAACUUGGAAAUGGCAUUGGAAACUGUGUUGCUAGAGUAUUGGAGGGGGGACUGGAAUACUUGGUGUAGCAGUGAAAUGCGUAGAUAUCAAGUGGAACAUCAGUGGCGAAGGCGAGUCCCUAGACAAUUACUGACACUGAGGCACGAAAGCUAGGGGAGCAAACGGG